GUGGGGAAUCUUGCGCAAUGGGCGAAAGCCUGACGCAGCCAUGCCGCGUGAAUGAUGAAGGUCUUAGGAUUGUAAAAUUCUUUCACCGGGGACGAUAAUGAUGGUACCCGGAGAAGAAGCCCCGGCUAACUUCGUGCCAGCAGCCGCGGUAAUACGAAGGGGGCUAGCGUUGCGCGGAAUUACUGGGCGUAAAGGGCGCGUAGGCGGACAGUUUAGUCAGAGGUGAAAGCCCAGGGCUCAACCUUGGAAUUGCCUUUGAUACUGGCUGUCUUGAGUACGGGAGAGGUGAGUGGAACUCCGAGUGUAGAGGUGAAAUUCGUAGAUAUUCGGAAGAACACCAGUGGCGAAGGCGACUCACUGGCCCGUUACUGACGCUGAGGCGCGAAAGCGUGGGGAGCAAACAGGAUUAGAUACCCCUGUAGUCC
This 425-nucleotide ribosomal RNA is filed under the name uncultured bacterium. RNAcentral's name for it is "partial 16S ribosomal RNA". It matches the Rfam family "Bacterial small subunit ribosomal RNA", at positions 354 to 796 of the family's 1533-position model. The record is from RNAcentral.